Molecule: ribosomal RNA, 429 nt
Filed under: Chloroflexota bacterium
Lineage: Bacteria; Bacillati; Chloroflexota
Description: Chloroflexi bacterium partial 16S ribosomal RNA
Rfam family: Bacterial small subunit ribosomal RNA
Source: RNAcentral
UGGGGAAUAUUGCACAAUGGGCGCAAGCCUGAUGCAGCCAUGCCGCGUGUAUGAAGAAGGCCUUCGGGUUGUAAAGUACUUUCAGCGGGGAGGAAGGGAGUAAAGUUAAUACCUUUGCUCAUUGACGUUACCCGCAGAAGAAGCACCGGCUAACUCCGUGCCAGCAGCCGCGGUAAUACGGAGGGUGCAAGCGUUAAUCGGAAUUACUGGGCGUAAAGCGCACGCAGGCGGUUGAUUGAGUCAGAUGUGAAAUCCCCGGGCUUAACCCGGGAAUUGCAUCUGAUACUGGUCAGCUAGAGUCUUGUAGAGGGGGGUAGAAUUCCAUGUGUAGCGGUGAAAUGCGUAGAGAUGUGGAGGAAUACCGGUGGCGAAGGCGGCCCCCUGGACAAAGAAUGACGCUCAGGUGCGAAAGCGUGGGGAGCAAACAGG